GUGACCUCGGAUCAGUAGAUG
RNAcentral lists this ribosomal RNA (21 nucleotides) under Fimetariella rabenhorstii. Its description in RNAcentral is "partial 28S ribosomal RNA". Lineage: Eukaryota; Fungi; Ascomycota; Sordariomycetes; Sordariales; Lasiosphaeriaceae. The record is from RNAcentral.